UACGUAGGGGGCAAGCGUUGUCCGGAAUUAUUGGGCGUAAAGCGCGCGCAGGCGGCCUUGUAAGUCUGGUGUUUAAGCUCGGGGCUCAACCCCGAUACGCACCGGAAACUGCAAAGCUUGAGUGCAGAAGAGGAAAGUGGAAUUCCACGUGUAGCGGUGAAAUGCGUAGAGAUGUGGAGGAACACCAGUGGCGAAGGCGACUUUCUGGGCUGUAACUGACGCUGAGGCGCGAAAGCGUGGGGAGCAAAACGG
Molecule: ribosomal RNA, 252 nt
Filed under: uncultured bacterium
Lineage: Bacteria
Description: partial 16S ribosomal RNA
Rfam family: Bacterial small subunit ribosomal RNA
Source: RNAcentral